Molecule: ribosomal RNA, 466 nt
Filed under: Salmonella enterica subsp. enterica serovar Enteritidis
Lineage: Bacteria; Pseudomonadati; Pseudomonadota; Gammaproteobacteria; Enterobacterales; Enterobacteriaceae
Description: partial 23S ribosomal RNA
Rfam family: Bacterial large subunit ribosomal RNA
Source: RNAcentral
UCUAGCCAUGGGCAGGUUGAAGGUUGGGUAACACUAACUGGAGGACCGAACCGACUAAUGUUGAAAAAUUAGCGGAUGACCUGUGGCUGGGGGUGAAAGGCCAAUCAAACCGGGAGAUAGCUGGUUCUCCCCGAAAGCUAUUUAGGUAGCGCCUCGUGAAUUCAUCUCCGGGGGUAGAGCACUGUUUCGGCUAGGGGGCCAUCCCGGCUUACCAACCCGAUGCAAACUGCGAAUACCGGAGAAUGUUAUCACGGGAGACACACGGCGGGUGCUAACGUCCGUCGUGAAGAGGGAAACAACCCAGACCGCCAGCUAAGGUCCCAAAGUCAUGGUUAAGUGGGAAACGAUGUGGGAAGGCCCAGACAGCCAGGAUGUUGGCUUAGAAGCAGCCAUCAUUUAAAGAAAGCGUAAUAGCUCACUGGUCGAGUCGGCCUGCGCGGAAGAUGUAACGGGGCUAAACCAUGCA